Molecule: unclassified non-coding RNA, 348 nt
Filed under: Zea mays
Lineage: Eukaryota; Viridiplantae; Streptophyta; Magnoliopsida; Poales; Poaceae
Description: misc RNA Zm00001eb018760
Source: RNAcentral
GAGGAUCAAUCGAAUGUGAAUCAAGUUUUUUCUGCUUGCAAGAAUGAUUCUCCGUUUGAGUUUGUUGGUUUGAGGAGCAUGAAAAUCAAACAUACUCCUGUGAUGUUUCGUUGGAAUUCCGGGAGAAAUCAUACCUCAAAUCCAUGGAAAAUCCAUGGAGAUUUGAUUCCUUCCUGGAUCACGCCACCCCGGGGUGAUGUUGUCUUGCCUCAAUUUCGGGAAUCUAGGGAGUGUGUUGUGGAAAAAUGUAAGGUGGUGAUCAAGAAUAAUGAAAAAACUGAGGGGCUUUGGGGAAAAAAACCUGAAUCAGGUAUAUUGUGGACUGAACAGGCCGAAUCGGCUCAUUUA